This 530-nucleotide ribosomal RNA is filed under the name Sticta subcaperata. RNAcentral describes it as "eukaryotic LSU rRNA". It matches the Rfam family "Eukaryotic large subunit ribosomal RNA", at positions 102 to 646 of the family's 3401-position model. The record is from RNAcentral. Lineage: Eukaryota; Fungi; Ascomycota; Lecanoromycetes; Peltigerales; Lobariaceae.
CAACAGCUCAAAUUUGAAAUCUGGCCUCUUCGGGGUCCGAGUUGUAAUUUGUAGAGGGUGUUUCGGGCGCGAUGCCGGUCUAAGUUCCUUGGAACAGGACGUCGUAGAGGGUGAGAAUCCCGUAUGCGACCGGCAAUCAAGCCUGUGUGAAGCCCCUUCGACGAGUCGAGUUGUUUGGGAAUGCAGCUCAAAAUGGGUGGUAAAUUUCAUCUAAAGCUAAAUAUUGGCCAGAGACCGAUAGCGGACAAGUAGAGUGAUCGAAAGAUGAAAAGCACUUUGGAAAGAGAGUCAAACAGUACGUGAAAUUGUUGAAAGGGAAGCGCUUGCAAUCAGACCGGUCCGGAGGCGAUCAGCCGCUGCUUGUCAGCGGUGCACUCGCCUGCGAUCCGGCCAGCAUCGGUUCGGGCGGUGGGAUAAAAGUCCCGGGAAUGUAGCUUCUUUCGGGGAGUCUUAUAGCCCGGGUCGCAAUGCCGCCCGUCCGGACCGAGGACCGCGCUUCGGCUAGGAUGCUGGCGUAAUGGUUGCAAGCG